Molecule: long non-coding RNA, 7554 nt
Organism: Marmota monax (woodchuck)
Lineage: Eukaryota; Metazoa; Chordata; Mammalia; Rodentia; Sciuridae
Exons: 2
Source: RefSeq, a predicted model, not a curated record
UAUAUAUAUACACACACACACAUAUACACACACAAUAGAACUUUUUUUAAGUUGUAGAUGGAAACAAUACCUUUAUUUUAUUUAUUUAUCUUUAUGUGGGGCUGAGGAUCAAACCCAGUGUCUCAAACAUGUGAGAUGAGUACUCUACCACUGAGCCACAACUCCAGCACCACAAUGGACUAUUACUCAGCCUUAAAGUAGAAUGAAAUUAUGACAUUUGCCAGUAAAUGGAUGGAACUGGAGGAUAUCAUGCUAAGUGAAAUAAGCCAAUCCCAAAGAAUCAAAGGUCGGAUAUUUUCUCUGAUAUGUAGAUGCUAAUUCUCAAUAAGGAGGUGGGCAGAAUAUAGUUACUUUGUAUUAGAAAGAAGUGAAAAGAGGGGAGGAGGUAUGGGGGGAGGAAUGAUAGUAGAAUGAAUCAGGCAUUUUUACCCUGUGUGCAUAUAACAUGACCUGUGUAACUCUAUAUCAUAUACAACGAGAAGAAUGAGCAGUUAUACUCCAUUUAUGUAUGAUGUGUCAAAAUGGAUUCUACUGUCACAUAUAACUAAUUAAAACAAAUUUAAAUAAAAACAAACAAAAAACAAUCCCUCUUGGCUUUGAAGACUCAUACUAAUGUGUCUUCUACCAAAUGAGAUUUCAUCCUGGCUUAUUUCUUUUUCCUUGAGAAGCUGUGACUGUCUUUUCUUUUUUUUUAAUUAGUCGAGGUACCAUGCAUAUACCAAAAUCAUCACCUUUCUAAAGUGUACAGUCCAGUGGCUUUCAGCUAAUUCACCAGGUUGUUCAGCCACCACUCUUCUCAGCACAUCCAGAAGAUGUCCCCUGCCCCUUAGUUGUCACCUGCCAGGUCCUCCCAACAAGUCCCCCCAGCCCUUGGCAACUCAUUUCUAAGUCCGUGGAUUUGCUUGUUGACCUGUUUUGCAUAUUUCACAUAAAUGUGAAUAUACAACACAUGGACUUUUUAAUCUGGCUUUUUUCACACAGUGUGGUGUUUCCGAAGGCCCAUGUGUGCUUAGCAGGUCUCUGUGCUUCCUUCCUUUUUGUGUCUGGGUGUUAUUCCCCUGUAUAGACAGUGUCACUUUAUCUCCUAGUAGAAGGACAUUUAGAUUGUUGUUGUUUUGAAUAAUGCUGCUAUGAGUGUUCAUGGACGAGAUUUUGUGUGGACAUUUGUUUCUAGUUCACUUGGGGUGUGCUUAAGUGUCUGAGGAACUGGAAAACUUUGCAGGUGACUCCAUGUUACCUUCCCACCAUCAGUGUAUGAACGUCUGGUUUCUCCCCCUCCUUGCCAAUGCACGUGAUUAUCUAUUCCAGCAUCAUUCUUAGUCGCAUUUCUUUUGUAGAUGGAAGGGCAGGAUGUGGAUGGUAAGAACCAAACCCAGAGAGCCACCGUUGGGACCCAGGGUAGAACUCGCAUCUUCUGAUUUGUACUCACCAUUCUUUCUGCCACACAGAUUCAGGGAAGCAUUUGAUUCUUCAGUAUCUGUGACAUCCAGUGGUGUAUCCACCUAGCCUCGCCUCUGAACACCAGACUUGAAUAGCCACCUGCUUAACUCCACUUGGAUGUACACUGGGCACGUCGAACCAGAACGAAGUUUUGUCCCAGAACGAAGUUUGGGUCUCCCAGCCCUUCCUUCCCCCAUUUCACUGGAGGGUAAACUUCUGCUCGAGGCAGAAGCUUAAAAUUGUUAUCUUCCCUGUCUCUCAUUCUCCAUAUCCAACUUAUUGGCUUUUUGUUCAACAUAGUCUUAUUCUGACCACUUCUUUCUUUCUGCCCUGACCAAGCCACAAACAUCUCUCACCUAUCCUACUCACCUGUGCUAGUCACCUGGCUCUCAUCUCUCACCUGGUCUUCAGAUGGUAUCAGUCCCCUGCUCAGAUUCCCUACAGUAGGUUCUUUUCAAACCUAGUGAAAUGUAAUGUCCUGGAAACGUACUGAAACUGGUACAGGUGCAGCUCCGUGGUAGAGUGUAGGCUUAGCCUGUGCAAAGUUCUUUCUGGGUCCCGUCCUCCAAAUCGGUCAGUCAGUCCUAGGUCCCUGACCACAGCCUGCUUUCAGUGCCUGCCAUCUUCUGCUCACUCUCAUUGGCUGCUUUGCUCUUCUGCGAUGCUACCACCACCACGUUCUCCAGUCAGGUGCUUUGAACUUGGUAUCCCCCCAGCUCUGAGCCCUCCUCCUGCAGCCCUGAGCCCGCUUCCCCCAGGUGUUUGCACUGACUUGCAGCCUAGGUUCUGUUAAGGUUCUGCUUGUAUGUCACCUCAUCAAGAGGCUGUCCCUGGCCACCAUAUUGAAACCACAACCCAUCACUUUCCCUUGCCCACUCAUUUUAUCCCUUGCAUUGCUUUUAAAAGAAUUAUUUAACAGUAUAUGAAAUGCUUAUUUGUUUAUUUUUCUAUUUUGCCUAUUAAGCGGUAAGCUCCAAGGAGCAGGCGCUUUGUCUCUUUGGUUUGCUGCUCUAUUUGCAUAUUGUGGAAUACUACUUAGCUCAUAAUAGGCAGUCAAUAAAUUAUUGUUAAAUGAACAGUUACUUGAUUUCCUCCCCUGGGGUCAUUUGGAAUCUUUUCCUGUCAACCUAUACUGGGUGAGCUUUUAAUCUUUCAUACAUUUUGCAAAAGACUUCCAUAUAUUUUUGGAUGUGUUUGUUUAAGUCUUUCUGUAACAGUUUCUCCAUAUAUAAAUUUGCAAUAAUGCUAGGCAAGUGUUUUGAGACCUCAUUUGAAAAAUGUUUUCCCCUACAAGUACUAAAGAUUAUGCUUACAAUAUUGUCAUUUUUAUAACUCUAUCUGGUUUUAAUAUGUUAUAACAGUGUGGACCCUGUUAGCCAAGUACGUGGUAAUAGCCUUUUAUUAUAAUACCCUAGGAUAUAAUAUCAUAAUGUAAUAAUAUCUUAUUACUGUGGUUCCACUAAUAAGGAUCUCACUUUAUACACACAGAGCUCUUGUAGUUUUAUGAUACAUAUCCAAGAGUAAGAAUUUGCUAUUGAGAAUCUUGUCUAAAGCAUAAGACACCACAAUACCCAAAGGGAUCGUCAACAAAAUUUGUCUAUUUAAAUUGUACCUUUGUAGUUUAAUUCAUUCUUCUUACUGUGUUGCAUGUUGUUACCUAAAAACCACAGAUUGCUUAAGCACCUCUCGGCUCUGUUUAUUCCAUUUUAUGCAAUUGCCAAAAAUAAGUAAGGCUAAUAUUAACCUUGCUGAAGAUAAUGUUCCAGGACCUUCCAGAAUACUGAAUAAUUCAGGAGGAUGUGAGGCAGUGCCUGAGAAUUGGGCUGUACAGUCAGAUUUACCUAAGUUUUAACUAUAUUUUAAUGUGUAGUGUGGAACAGUAGACUUGAUCUUUCUAAUCUUUAAUUUCUUCACCUGUCAAAUGGGGUGAAUAACUAGGUACCUCCAAAGGUGGAGCAAGAGUUAAAAGAUGAUUCAUAUAAAGCACUUGACAUGUUAUAAAAUAUGUUCAAUAAACGUGAACUGCAAUCCCUACUGGUAGCUGAAGUCUUUAGAGCACUGUAUGUGAAGAAGUGUGCUUUGGCGCAAGACUGGAAUGACUCCCAGAUCAAGCAGAGUGAAGGGGCUUUUUUAGUGGCACUGAAAUGCAAAGGCAUCACCUCUGCUGCCCAGGACUUUGUUGGAAAGGGAACUGGGGCUGCUUCUAACCCCAAUGUAGCAAAUACAGCAUGGAGACCCCCUUAGGGCCAUGUAUGUUGAUAACAUUUAAAGGACAAAGAGAGAUCUUUCUGCAGUUCUUUCUGCAGCUUCAUCUGCCAGGACGAUAGAAUGUUCCUUGUCCAUUAGGAAUUAACGUCUUCUCUUUAUACCAGCCUCUGAGAGUGGAAAUAGAAAAAGUCAUUACAGAUACUCUGGGUUUUGCUUUUCUGUUUUGUUUCCUUGAGAAGAGGUCUCACUAGUACUCUUCUCUCAAUCCUCCUGCCUCAGCCUCCCCGUGCCUGGCCUUGGGUUUGCUUCAAGGUUGCAGCAUGGAGUUUGAACAGUCACCGAGGCUGACUGUGAGCUCUCUGCACUUUCCAGCUCUGUUUUAUUUGCUGCUGCUUUGUGUUUUCAAGGCUCCCCAACUAGGCUAUAGACCAAUGGUUCUCAAGUCACUGCAGGGCUUGUUAAAAACACUGAAUUCUGGGCCGAUCCCCAGGCUUUCUGAUUCUGUGGGUCCAGGUGGGGCUGAGAGUGCAUUUCUAACAAGUUCCCAGGAGACUCUGGUGUAGAUGCUCUGGUCAGGAAGUCGCAUGCUGCCAGCCACCAUUGAAUGCAAUUUGGAUCUCCCCAGAGCGCUUGGCCCCAAGUUGGGCACAGAAUACGCUCCCAAUAAAUACUUGUUGGUUCAUUGCAUCUAAUGACACCAAAAUGAAAUAUAAAGGGGAGAUAAAGUAUAUUACGGUUCUCAUUAGGCUCACUGCCUAGUUCUCAUUAAGACUGCCCUGAUUUCUUUUAUGUCUUGGGCAUGAGGGCUCAGUGCUAAUUUUCACGGAUCCUGUGGUCCCUAAAGUAUUAUCGUUUUCAUCUGCUCCAAGGUUCUCCUCAUUUACCCUUUCCUUUCUCGUCUCAUUUUAGACAGAAUGCUAAUAAUAGCCAACAGAACCCUCGGGACUAAUACAUGAAUGAGAGUUUCUGUGCUUCCCAAAGAGUUUCUGUAAAUCCCUUUGUCAUUAAUCUCAUUUCUCUCUGUCUGUCCCCUCCCGGUGAGUGUAAAGCUAAAGUCCUUGGUUUGUUGCUUCAUUUUCUAGAAUUUUUAAUUUGAUUCUAAGUAGCACGUCUAAGCUAACAUUUGAUUGAGUUACUAGGGAGAAGAUUUACAGAGAACUGAUAGAAAACAAAUUGGACUUGUAGAGAAAGGAUGAUUUGGAGUUGUUAUAUUGCCAAAUUCAUUGUUUAUUUCCCUGAUAUUUUUCUGGCUGUGAGCACUUGGGUAUUUCUUCACCAGAAAAGAAUUUUCAGGGAUUGUUUUGAACAUCCUGUAAACUCUUUUCUAUUUAAGCAUGUUAGACGAAAGAGAGAUUUUUCUUCAUUAAAACAGGAAAAAAAAAAAUCUAAGUUUCCAUUUCCAUUGACCCAUUACUGUGUACCUGGGAGAAAAAUACUCUACAAAGGUACGAAAGGCCUUUAAAUAACUUUCCCCCAGGAUUUCUGAAUGUAAUAUUCCCCUCUUUGUUCGCAGCUAGCAUAGGAGUUUAGUUUUUAGACUAGUGUUUUCUAAAGUAGAUUCCGUGGAACACCAGGAAGAUGUGUGGGUGAACAGAAUUCCAUGACAGAAAUAAAGAAAGCUUGGCAAACCCAGGUUUAAACAAAGUGACACAGAGGCCUUUAGUUCUUUGUCUCAGGACUGACAGAAUCUUUAAUAUGAGCGUUGUGAAUUAAGUAUGAAAGAGGGGACUAUUUUCAGACCCUGAAUAACCAUGGAACCUUCUGGUGCCAGUGUUCUGCGGACUAGACUUUGGCAAGUACCGUAUGAACAUCCUUAUUUUGUGUGUGGGGGGUUUGAUCCCUAAAGAAGUCUCAGGGAUACAGAAAGAUGCUCUUUUUUUUUCUGUACAGAUAAGGUAGACACAAUUUUGAUUCCUUUUCAAAGUAUGUAUAUAUAUUUUCCACGAUUGAAGGGUAGUAAAGAGAUCAUUUAGGAACUCUGUUACCAUUGAAGAGCUCAGUGCCUUUCCUGAAUGCCGAUUUCAGGUUAGAUUUUUUUCUGGAAUAUAGGCAUUUUUGUUCUGUAUUGACUAUUUUGGGACAAAUGUCCUUGUCUAAUUCACCCAGCAUAAUGCCAUUGCUAAGUGCACUUCUGAGUUGCAAUACUGCUGGACACUUAUGGGUUCCCCCGUAUGCCAACUUUCAGAGUUAUGGAAAAUUCAACUAAAUGCCACUUAAGACAUGGUUAUUCAUAAUUUCAACAAGCCCAUGCAGCCGUCUUUCCACAAGGGAGGAUCAUUCCUGAGGUUGUACUCUUUUCAGGUUCCUGUGCUCUACACCCCGCCCACCAGUUCCCUAGGGCUGUAUUCCAGUUAGCAGUACUCUCUGCCUGUAAUGUGGCUUUUCCCAGUCACUAGAAAAUGUCAAGAGGUAUAGUUGAACUGUGGAGGCUAUUAAUCUCCACGACACUGUCAAAGGAAAGAGUAGAGUUUCAUAGCUACAGGUUAUUAACACUACUGACAAUGGAAAAGUUGACAUUUUUCUUUUCUUUGCAUCUGGACUCUUGCCUCUUUUAAAAAUAAAUCGGCAAUGAACAGAAUAUGAAGCAUUUUUUGCUGUUUCAAUAUUGCACAUACAACAAUGAUGAGAGGUGAAACCAAACCUAUAUUUUAUAAUCAGAUUUUUGCCUUCCUGAACAGAGGGGUUUCUCAGUUACUUUGCAUAGCAUAACUUUUAAUUCCAGGGUGGUUAUCUGUGAUGGUAAAUGUUUCAGUGCCAGCAAGUUUUGCUUUCGAGUUCAUCCCCUCCUCACCCCCCACAUAAGGACUAUUGGCAUCUGGAAGGAGUUAGAUCACCCUCAUUUGACAGCAAUAUUACGCUUGUUAAGAUCCACUGAGCUGUGAAAACACAUCCAUAAAACAUCUAAGGUAGAAUUUAAGAACACAGCCUUUCUCCUCUCUCUUCUUGAGGGGUAAUCCAAACUUUUUAACUUGAUAUAUUACAGAGCACUGUCAUUUUCUGUUUCAGCCAAUCUGGUUCAUAUUCACUGACUGUAAUUAGGAGUGUAGGUGUGUGAAUUAGUUGGCUUAAAAACUCCAAAGCGUGCACACACGUAAAUGUGUUGCAUGUAAAUGUUCUGAGUACAGAAUACCUAAUUUGAGUGAAUGACAGGAAGCACAACAUCAUUGAAAUUGUCAGGAAAACAGAAAUUAGGUAUUUUAGAGCCCUGGGUGGUUUUUUUUUUUGUUUUUUUUUUUGUUUGUUUGUUUCUGCAUGCUGCCUUCACGUAUUACAAGCCAGAGAAGCUGCAAAAUAUGUACAGAAUUGAGUGGGAUCUUGGGUGUAACCGAUUACCAUGAAAAAUUGGCAAGAGGGAAACCACUUCUUGUUUUCUGCGUGUUCUUAUGUAACCUUGAACAAACUGUUCUGUUUAAAAAAAAAAAAAAAGUCUUUACUUUUCUCUUUCUGGGGGGAAAAAAAUUGAACUUGAGCCUUCCAAAUAUUUUUGAUAGUGUAUUCCCUCCUUCCCACCCCCAUCAGAAUUCCCCAAGUGUUGGAUUGCAGAUGGAAGUCUGGACUGGGAGUCUCAGCAACUUGACUUUGAGCUAUAUUUUAACUAUGUAGAAGAUUACGGCAUGUUCAAGGGUGCUGGAUUCUAUCACUGCUUUGCUCUGCUUUUUUCUUAUGUCAACAGGGUUUUACUAGUCUACAUUCCCUGUUUGUGCUUAAUCAUUUUAUAGUGGAAAUAGAUCGGGGAGAGGUUACAGACAACAUGUGUGGAAACCGUGAAUUGCGAUCUCUGAUUUUCUCUAUUCCGAAUCAUUCAAUAAAUGCCUUUAUUUGGUUCCAGGAAUUUCUUUGCUCUUUUUCUUCCAGCAUUUUGGUUCCUGCCUCUCCUGUCCUUUGCUUUGCUGAUCUCCUGUUUUU